Long non-coding RNA from Felis catus (domestic cat), 514 nucleotides. RefSeq lists it as uncharacterized. Lineage: Eukaryota; Metazoa; Chordata; Mammalia; Carnivora; Felidae. The record is from RefSeq and is a predicted model, not a curated record. The transcript is spliced from 3 exons.
CCGUCAGGGCUCUGAAAUUAGCAGCGGAACGCAGUUCCUAACUGAAACAGCUCGUGUCUCACUGUUGUAAAUCAGUUUCAGCUUGCUGAUGCAGAGUCUGAGGGCAGCUAGUUUGCCACCAUUGAUGCAGGGCUGAAAGGGUCUUCAGAAAACCAUCUCACAAGAACCAUCCUUUCCAGCUGAAGCUGUCAAUCACCCGGCCCUAGGUGGUACAGGAUGUCAGCUCCCUCAACAAUACGACUGGUCCAGAAGUGGACGUGUAACCCCAUCAGAGCCAAACAGGGUUCUUUUGGGGACGGCUACUUAUUUGCUACUCUUUCAGAAGAGACGAGUGAUUUGAAGGGUGAAAACGCAGACCUGAGGGACAGACCCUGUCCCUUAUCGACCUCUGGAAUGGCAACUGUAAUGGAUGGGAUUAAGAAAAUAUGGGGCGCCUGGGUGGCGCAGUCGGUUAAGCGUCCGACUUCAGCCAGGUCACGAUCUCGCGGUCCGUGAGUUCGAGCCCCGCGUCGGG